CUAAGUCGGAUUAGCUAGUUGGUGGGGUAAAGGCCUACCAAGGCGACGAUCUGUAGCGGGUCUGAGAGGAUGAUCCGCCACACUGAGACUGAGACACGGCCCAGACUCCUACGGGAGGCAGCAGUGGGGAAUAUUGGACAAUGGGCGCAAGCCUGAUCCAGCCAUGCCGCGUGAGUGAUGAAGGCCCUAGGGUUGUAAAGCUCUUUUACCCGGGAAGAUAAUGACUGUACCGGGAGAAUAAGCCCUGGCUAACUCCGUGCCAGCAGCCGCGGUAAUACGGAGGAUGCAAGCGUUAUCCGGAAUGAUUGGGCGUAAAGCGUCCGCAGGUGGCUAUGUAAGUCUGCUGUUAAAGAGCAAGGCUCAACCUUGUAAAGGCAGUGGAAACUACAUAGCUAGAGUGCGUUCGGGGCAGAGGGAAUUCCUGGUGUAGCGGUGAAAUGCGUAGAUAUCAGGAAGAACACCGGUGGCGAAAGCGCUCUGCUAGGCCGCAACUGACACUGAGGGACGAAAGCUAGGGGAGCGAAUGGGAUUAGAUACCCCAGUAGUCCUAGCCGUAAACGAUGGAUACUAGGCGUUGCUUGUAUCGACCCGAGCAGUGCCGUAGCUAACGCGUUAAGUAUCCCGCCUGGGGAGUACGCACGCAAGUGUGAA
Molecule: ribosomal RNA, 651 nt
Filed under: uncultured bacterium
Lineage: Bacteria
Description: bacterial SSU rRNA
Rfam family: Bacterial small subunit ribosomal RNA
Source: RNAcentral